GCGGGGGUAUCGAAGCGGUCAAACGAGCUGGACUCAAGAUCCAGUCCCUUAGUGGGUUCGCAGGUUCGAACGCACUGUUAUUACAGGUGUAUUCGACGGUGCCGAACAUCCUGCCUCCCGCA
RNAcentral lists this transfer RNA (122 nucleotides) under Nanobdellota archaeon. Its description in RNAcentral is "tRNA-Leu". It matches the Rfam family "tRNA". From Rfam's summary of the family: Transfer RNA (tRNA) molecules are approximately 80 nucleotides in length. Their secondary structure includes four short double-helical elements and three loops (D, anti-codon, and T loops). Further hydrogen bonds mediate the characteristic L-shaped molecular structure. tRNAs have two regions of fundamental functional importance: the anti-codon, which is responsible for specific mRNA codon recognition, and the 3' end, to which the tRNAs corresponding amino acid is attached (by aminoacyl-tRNA synthetases). tRNAs cope with the degeneracy of the genetic code in two manners: having more than one tRNA (with a specific anti-codon) for a particular amino acid; and 'wobble' base-pairing, i.e. permitting non-standard base-pairing at the 3rd anti-codon position. The record is from RNAcentral. Lineage: Archaea; Nanobdellati; Nanobdellota.